GACGAACCGUGCGAACGUUAUUCGGAAUCACUGGGCUUAAAGCGCGUGUAGGCGGGACGGCACGUCGGUCGCUGAAAUCCCCCGGCUCAACCGGGGAACGGGCGCCGAUACGACCGCCCUGGAGGGACGUAGGGGGACCUGGAACUUCCGGUGGAGCGGUGAAAUGCGUAGAGAUCGGAAAGAACACCAAUGGCGAAGGCAGCUCGCUGGGACGGUACUGACGCUGAGGCGCGAAAGCGUGGGGAGCAAACAGG
Molecule: ribosomal RNA, 254 nt
Filed under: uncultured bacterium
Lineage: Bacteria
Description: partial 16S ribosomal RNA
Rfam family: Bacterial small subunit ribosomal RNA
Source: RNAcentral